RNAcentral lists this long non-coding RNA (203 nucleotides) under Vigna radiata. Its description in RNAcentral is "long non-coding RNA (VRAD_LNC006548)". The record is from RNAcentral. Lineage: Eukaryota; Viridiplantae; Streptophyta; Magnoliopsida; Fabales; Fabaceae.
AGCGGUUCACUUAGGUGUUGAGCGGUUAUCUAUUUUUAUUUGGCUUAGAUUCUGUUAUCUUUUUGGUCUAUAAAUAGACCCAGUGCGAUUCAAAUUGGAAUCUUUUUGGCUAGUAGAGACGUCCAGAGCUAUUCUAUACACCUUGGAGGAGGUUCCUUGGAUGCUUAGGUUCCAAUCUACCAAAUUUAGGGUUUAUUCUUCCA